GUGCCAGCAGCCGCGUAAUACGUAGGUGGCAAGCGUUAUCCGGAAUUAUUGGGCGUAAAGCGCGCGUAGGCGGUUUUUUAAGUCUGAUGUGAAAGCCCACGGCUCAACCGUGGAGGGUCAUUGGAAACUGGAAAACUUGAGUGCAGAAGAGGAAAGUGGAAUUCCAUGUGUAGCGGUGAAAUGCGCAGAGAUAUGGAGGAACACCAGUGGCGAAGGCGACUUUCUGGUCUGUAACUGACGCUGAUGUGCGAAAGCGUGGGGAUCAAACAGGAUUAGA
Molecule: ribosomal RNA, 277 nt
Filed under: uncultured Staphylococcus sp.
Lineage: Bacteria; Bacillati; Bacillota; Bacilli; Caryophanales; Staphylococcaceae
Description: partial 16S ribosomal RNA
Rfam family: Bacterial small subunit ribosomal RNA
Source: RNAcentral